RNAcentral lists this ribosomal RNA (1979 nucleotides) under human gut metagenome. RNAcentral's name for it is "bacterial LSU rRNA". It matches the Rfam family "Bacterial large subunit ribosomal RNA", at positions 3 to 1991 of the family's 2925-position model. The record is from RNAcentral.
UUAAGCUAGAAAGGGCAUACGGUGGAUGCCUAGGCACUAAGAGUCGAAGAAGGACGCGGUAAGCUGCGAAAAGCUGUGAGGAGCUGCAAGCAAGCUGAGAAUCACAGAUAUCCGAAUGGGACAACCCGUCAGUGAUAAUACGCUGACAUCGUAUAUUGAGUCAAGUAGAUAUACGAAGACAACCCGGGGAACUGAAACAUCUAAGUACCCGGAGGAAAAGAAAGCAAAAGCGAUUCCCCCAGUAGCGGCGAGCGAAAAGGGAGCAGCCCAAACCGAUUCUUCGGAAUCGGGGUAGAGGACUUCCAAAAAGAAUGGAUGGUUAGCAGAAUGAUCUGGGAAGGUCAGUCGAAGAAGGUAAUAACCCUGUAUGCGAAAGCCAGAAAUUUGGGGAAGGAUCCGGAGUACCACGAAGCACGUGAAAUUUCGUGGGAAGCAGGGGGGACCACCCUCCAAGGCUAAAUACUCCUUAGUGACCGAUAGUGAACAAGUACCGUGAGGGAAAGGUGAAAAGAACCCCGGAAGGGGAGUGAAAAAGAACCUGAAACCGUAUGCUUACAAGCUGUCACAGCACCAUACGAGUGUAGUGGCGUACUUUUUGUAGAACGGACCGGCGAGUUACGAUGUCAAGCGAGGUUAAGAUGAGAAGUCGGAGCCGAAGCGAAAGCGAGUCUGAAGAGGGCGAAAGUUUGACAUAGUAGACCCGAAACCGGGUGAUCUACCCAUGAGCAGGAUGAAGCGUUAGUAAAAUAACGUGGAGGUCCGAACCAGGUAUCGUUGAAAAGAUAUUGGAUGACUUGUGGGUAGGGGUGAAAUUCCAAUCGAACCCGGAGAUAGCUGGUUCUCCUCGAAAUAGCUUUAGGGCUAGCCUUGAAUUAGAUUAUGGGAGGUAGAGCACUGAAUAGGCUAGGGGGCUUCACCGCCUACCGAACCUUAUCAAACUACGAAUGCCGAUAAUUGAUGUUCAGGAGUCAGACUGUGGGGGAUAAGCUUCAUGGUCAAAAGGGAAACAGCCCAGACCGCCGGCUAAGGUCCCAAAGUGUGUGUUAAGUGGAAAAGGAUGUGAAAUCGCUCAGACAACCAGGAUGUUGGCUCAGAAGCAGCCACCAUUAAAAGAGUGCGUAAUAGCUCACUGGUCCAGGGGUUUUGCGCCGAAAAUGUAACGGGGCUCAAACACACCACCGAAGCCGCGGAAUGUUUUAGGACAUUGGUAGAGGAGCGUUCUUAAUGCGACGAAGGCGUACCGAGAGGAGCGUUGGAGCGUUAAGAAGUGAGAAUGCCGGUAUUAGUAUGCGAAAAGGCAGGUGAGAAUCCUGCCCGCCGAAAAUCUAAGGAUUCCUGGGGAAGGCUCGUCCGCCCAGGGUAAGUCGGGACCUAAGGCGAGGCCGAAAGGCGUAGUCGAUGGGAAACUGGUAGAUAUUCCAGUACCAGCGGAGGUCAAUUGAGUGAAGUAGUGAAGCAGAAGGAUAGGGAGAGCGCCCAGUUGGUGAGGCGUUUAAGUAAGUAGGGUGAUGUGCAGGCAAAUCCACACAUCGAGAGCCUGAGAUACGAAUACGAGUGAAAACUAGUAGCGAAGUCCCCGAUUCCCGGCUGCCAAGAAAAGCUGCUAACGAGACCGAAGGUGCCCGUACCGCAAACCGACACAGGUAGAUGGGGUGAGAAACCUAAGGCGCGCGAGAAAACUCUUGUUAAGGAACUCGGCAAAAUGAACCCGUAACUUCGGGAGAAGGGUUGCUCAUUAGUGUGAGUAUCCGUGCGAUACAGAGCACAGAUGAGUCGCAGAGAAAAGGUCCAGGCGACUGUUUAGCAAAAACACAGGUCAUUGCAAAACCGCAAGGUGAAGUAUAAUGGCUGACGCCUGCCCGGUGCUGGAAGGUUAAGGGGAAGAGUGAGAGCUUUGAACCGAAGCCCCAGUAAACGGCGGCCGUAACUAUAACGGUCCUAAGGUAGCGAAAUUCCUUGUCGGGUAAGUUCCGACCCGC